UUAAAAUUCUGACUUUCACUGAUUUUAUUUACAUUUCAUUGAUUUCUUCAGAUCCCUGUAAAUCAGCCCUUCAUUUCUCAGUGGAAGGAGAGGUCCUGCUGGAGUGGAAGAAGAAUAAUACAGCUACAGUGCUGCAGACAUGGUAUAUGAUGCAUAGCAUAAGGAUCAUCCCCAGAGGAUUUGUCUGUAAAGUCAUUGAAGACAUGCAACCUUCUGUACGGAUCUUAUUUCCCAAACUGUUACUUUGGACAUAAACAUGGACAGUAACUCUCAAAAUCCCUCCCUUUUCAGCACAUUGGAAGAAUUUGAAGUUUGAAUAUCUUAUUUGUGAUCUGACUUUUGUACUGGAAAACUCAAUAGCAAGGUUAGUCUCAUUCAUAUUUGUGUAAUUAAUAUCAGAACAGAGUUCAAAGCUUCUGCUUCUGGUUGUAGUGCUUUGGUUUCUCAUUAAUCAGAAC
Molecule: long non-coding RNA, 458 nt
Filed under: Coturnix japonica (Japanese quail)
Lineage: Eukaryota; Metazoa; Chordata; Aves; Galliformes; Phasianidae
Description: lncRNA (ENSCJPG00005004775.1)
Source: RNAcentral